This is a long non-coding RNA of Amblyraja radiata (thorny skate), 277 nucleotides long. RefSeq lists it as uncharacterized. NCBI's taxonomy places the organism in Eukaryota, Metazoa, Chordata, Chondrichthyes, Rajiformes, Rajidae. The transcript is spliced from 3 exons. The record is from RefSeq and is a predicted model, not a curated record.
UGAAAAACAAAUUUUUCAAGUUUAAAAGAGAAUUUUCCCAGAGAAUAAAGUCUGGGAAAGUCUUAGAAGCUUGGUUUAUACUAAUCAUUGAAACAAUGUAUUAACAAUGUAUUAACAUAGAGAUGUAUUGUCCGGGCACAGCACCAUAUUUGAUAUCAGUCUGAACUGCCUGUACUAGCUAAGGACAAGGUAGUGGCUUUCAUCCAAGGCUUACAAGCUUGUUUUAGCUCACAGACGGAUGCCCAUUCGAGAAACAAGAUGGAAGUAAUUUGAAAAC